UUUUCUUUGUUUUGUUUUCCUUUCUUUCUUUUUCGUUUUGUUUCGUUUUGUUUUUCUCUGUUUCUUUGUUUAGUGUGGGGCAGGUGUUUCUCUGCCAGAUUUCUGGUGGUCUUCAUGUUCCAGCGCAGCCAUUUUCCACGCUGCACUUUUCUUCGCUGCACCUAUCCAGCGCAGCCUUUUCUACUCUUCGCUGCCCUACCCAGCGCUGCUACCCUCUUCUCUGCCCAAGGCCACAAACCUUUUCGCCACCUCUCACGAUGGUUUAACUUUUCAUUGCCGAUAAUCA
RNAcentral lists this long non-coding RNA (286 nucleotides) under Salvia miltiorrhiza (redroot sage). RNAcentral describes it as "long non-coding RNA (SMIL_LNC003419)". The record is from RNAcentral. Lineage: Eukaryota; Viridiplantae; Streptophyta; Magnoliopsida; Lamiales; Lamiaceae.